This is a non-coding RNA of Odocoileus virginianus texanus, 863 nucleotides long. The record is from RefSeq and is a predicted model, not a curated record. NCBI's taxonomy places the organism in Eukaryota, Metazoa, Chordata, Mammalia, Artiodactyla, Cervidae.
UGCAACAAAGAUAGCUUUCAGAAGAAUGAGGACACUGGCCCAGCCUCUGGAGGACCGAGGAUACCCUUUUCAUUUUUAAUGAAGAGCUUCUAAUUGGCUAAACCUUGGCACUUCCUUAGAGCAGGUCAUGAUGUAAGUUGCAGACCACAGGCACGAGAGAAAACAACACAACGAAUUGACUGGGGCACAUCUCGGCUGGCACGCACUGGGCAGUCAUUAAAAAUGAAGGCGUGGGAGCCUGUUUAAUGACAUGGAAAGUUGUCUGCAGUGGUCAUGUGUAAAGACCGGGUUUGAAACAGCAUCGAACACUCCUAUUAAAAAAAAGAGUAGAUAUGUACAUGCAUCGGAAGAGAGUCUGGAAAUACACAAGCCAACGUGUUCACCUUUGGAUGGUGGGGUGAAGGGUGCUUUUAUUUCCUUCUUGCUUGCCAGUAUUUUCAAAUUCACUUUCCAAAGUGAAUUAGAACUGCAGUCUGACAGCAGAACAACAGCAGAGGUUAUUAAUAACAGAACCAUCCCCCGCCAGCCACAGCAGCAGCUCGUGGAUUCUAAGAAUGUCAGCUCAGCGUUCCAGGUUUCCAGAAUGCUCUCAGAUUUUCCAUUGAUCUGUCCAGGUGUAAGCAGAGAUCUUGGGAAGGCUGUAGGGCAGCAGCUCUGAGAAGGAACUCAGAGACUCAAAGGUUUUAAAGUCCUGCACCCAUGGAGAAUUGCUGACUAAAAGGGGUUGGAACAGAACUGGGUCCCUAGGUGUGGAGACCAUUGUCAUCAAGAGUAAGAAAAUGAAAUGGCUCUGUAUGUAGGUCAACGACCCCCUCUCUACUGAAAGAUGAGAAUACCAAGACACAGAGAAAUGAAAUAACUUG